AGCCACCUGGGGAGUACGCCGGCAACGGUGAAACUCAAAGGAAUUGACGGGGGCCCGCACAAGCGGAGGAACAUGUGGUUUAAUUCGAUGAUACGCGAGGAACCUUACCUGGGCUUAAAUGGGGAGUGACAGCUGCCGAAAGGUGGUUUUCUUCGGACACUCUUCAAGGUGCUGCAUGGUUGUCGUCAGCUCGUGCCGUGAGGUGUCGGGUUAAGUCCCAUAACGAGCGCAACCCUUACCGUUAGUUACCAUCAGGUCAUGCUGGGGACUCUAGCGGGACUGCCACCGUAAGGUGAGAGGAAGGUGGGGAUGACGUCAAAUCAGCACGGCCCUUAUGUCCAGGGCUACACACGUGUUACAAUGGCCGGUACAAAGGGCAGCUACUGGGCGACCAGAUGCUAAUCUCAAAAGCCGGUCUCAGUUCGGAUCGAAGUCUGCAACCCGACUUCGUGAAGCUGGAUUCGCUAGUAAUCGCGCAUCAGCCAUGGCGCGGUGAAUACGUUCCCGGGCCUUGUACACACCGCCCGUCAAACCAUGGAAGUUGGGGGUACCUGAAGUCUG
This 561-nucleotide ribosomal RNA is filed under the name uncultured Bacteroidota bacterium. RNAcentral's name for it is "bacterial SSU rRNA". It matches the Rfam family "Bacterial small subunit ribosomal RNA", at positions 867 to 1430 of the family's 1533-position model. The record is from RNAcentral. Lineage: Bacteria; Pseudomonadati; Bacteroidota.